AGGUCCUGGACCGCUGCUCCUGGUGCCAGAGAACAUUCGCAUCUGACGCUACAACCUACAGAGCACCAUGACUUUUUGCAAUAAGAGGUUCGCAUUUUAGCACUGGACUACAACUGGGACCACAACAACACUGGACUCAUAGAAGGAAAUGGUGAAUUGCCUGGUGCUAUUAAAAAAGCUUAUCUGCCAGCUGUGGAUGAUGAUAAUAAUAACAAUGCUGCUGCUGUUGACCUGGACAUCAAGUAGCUACAUCACCAAGCCAUGUGGGAUUCCAGUGGACUGGGUUGGCAGGAAUUUGUACUGGGUUGACACAAAGCUCAAACGUCUGUAGGUGGCCAUGUUGGAAGGGCGACACGUGAAGCCUCUGAUUAAGACUGACCUGCAAGAACCCAAUUCUGUUGCUGUAAACCCUCGUUUGAGCAUGGUCUACUGGAUAGACAAUGGCAAUACGCCUCGAAGGCCCCUGGUUGGAUGGUCAAGAGAGAAGGGUUCUGGUGGACUGUGCUUUGGGUACAUUCUGCCACCUUUCUUCUGUCAGAUGGAAGAAACCCUUUCAGUGUGAAUGCAUUUGAGGGCCAUGUGUCCUGUAGCACGCAGGAGAAGGCUGAAGUGUUUAAACAGGACAAGUUUGGCAGAGGCAUCAAAACCAGAUUCCUAAUAGCAGGACCUUGGCUUACCCAGAUUAAUGUCUACCAGCAGCAGAAAUACAACUCUGUAGCUUUGAAGAACCCUUGUAAGAGCAAUUGUGUCUGCUGAGACCGGGAGGCUACACCUGUGCCUGCCCAGGGGUCAACGACUUCAUUCCUAGCAGCAGUACCGAAUGUGACGCAGGUGCCU
This is a long non-coding RNA of Carassius auratus (goldfish), 837 nucleotides long. RefSeq lists it as uncharacterized. Lineage: Eukaryota; Metazoa; Chordata; Actinopteri; Cypriniformes; Cyprinidae. The transcript has 6 exons. The record is from RefSeq and is a predicted model, not a curated record.